CCCUCGAUCUAUUCGUGACGCGAACGACGCAACCACCGCCAUCAUAGAUCCCACGCGCUAGCCGCGGAUCCCUUUGCAGCGUCGAGGGGUCGUGGAGGUGCCGCCUCCGAGGUCCUAAAGGAGGCGCCGCUGCCAUUGUUGUGGACCUCCGGGUGGCCAUCGAGACACCUCUGCUGAGGUACGCCUUCUCCUUCGCACGGUGAUGGGCAUGGUGGCGGAAGAAGGUCGUCUUCCUAGAGCACCGCACGCUGGCCGCAGUCUCCAUCCGCGUCCGCACCAACAAGACAGUGUUCCCGAAUUAGGUCAAGAAUGUACUGCUUACAUUGCAGACUGUAUAAUUCGGAUGGGUCUUCUUCUACAUGGUGACUAUUGACGCAAAUAUGGACUGCACUUCCUUCCCAUCUUCUACAUAGCCUAUACCUAGCAGCACCGUAGAUGAGCCCAUCAACAACAUGAUGGAGACCAGUCGUACUUCUUGAUCCGGUAUCUAAACCAUUGGUCGUCAGUGUUGUUGCGGAAGGUGCGGAGGAGGGAGAAGGUUUUGCCGAUAACUGGCACAACGAGGUUAGGUGUAGGUCUGGGCGUUGGUGCUGGUGGAGGCGCAACACUGGAGCUCGGCCAUGACUCGGUCGGACAUCACUUUGAGCCAUCAUAAAAAUAUCAUGAUCAUCUUUUGGCGAAUAAAAAGGUGUUUAUAACCUCAUAAGCAAAGACCUGUGGUGUUGCUUGUAUAUUUAGAGAUACUAUGGGAAUUGAUACACUCAUAGCUUAUUUUUCUUAGUUGUAUGUUGUGUUGUCACUUAUUUUUCUGAUCUCUGUCGUGCAUAUGUUUUGACUAAAUUAUGGUUGUUGUUUAUGGUUGUCAAAUUAAGCCAUUGAUAGAGAUAAGCAAAAGAGUUGUUGAUUGACCAAGCAGAGAGACAACUUAGAGACACUAUAACAGUUAGGAAUUUAAGUAGUGGGACCAAAUUAUGUCAUGCUUUAUAACAGGUCAUCGAUUCUUCAUGUAGCUCACUACUUGAUUCUAACACCUUUUCUUUGGAUACAACAAGAAUCAUACCCACCCACGCGGCGACACGAUGCAGAAGGGCUAUAUGGGUCUAUAGCGGCGCGUGCAAUGGAAGGACAACUAUGGGAACAAGCUCAUCGAAGUCUUGGAAUUCCAACCUAGAUAAACAAGUGAACUAAUUUUAACAAUUUCCCUUUUUUGCGAUGCAGGCUAGCUCAUUCUUUAAGGGCUACUCAACUCUGUUUUUGCCCUCCCUUUGGAGAUUGGAUUAUAUGGCACUCUGUGUUGAAGGCUCUUCAUGCCAAAUUUAAUAAAUCUUGUCAUGUUUUCAUAGGUUGCCUAUUUUCUCACUCUACAUGGAAUGGUGAACGUUUGUAGCAUGGUCAGUUGGUCAGGUUUUGAUUAUUUUUAUCACUGCACAUACCUUCAGAAAAUAACCCAAUGAGGCUGAUACGUCUCCAACGCAUCUAUAAUUUUUGAUUGUUCCAUGCAGUUUUAUUAUCAAUCUUGGAUGUUUUAUAAUCAUUUUAUAUCAUUUUUUUAGUACUAACCUAUUGACAUAGUGCCAAGUGCCAGUUGUUGUUUUUCCAUGUUUUUUACAUCGCAGAAAA
Molecule: long non-coding RNA, 1620 nt
Organism: Triticum aestivum (bread wheat)
Lineage: Eukaryota; Viridiplantae; Streptophyta; Magnoliopsida; Poales; Poaceae
Exons: 3
Source: RefSeq, a predicted model, not a curated record